AUUGAACGCUGGCGGCGUGCCUAACACAUGCAAGUCGAGCGGCAGCGCGGGAGCAAUCCUGGCGGCGAGCGGCGGACGGGUGAGUAAUGCUUGGGAAUCUGCCUGUUAGUGGGGGACAACCCGGGGAAACUCGGGCUAAUACCGCAUACGCACUACGGUGGAAAGCCGGGGACCGCAAGGCCUGGCGCUAACAGAUGAGCCCAAGUCGGAUUAGCUAGUUGGUAGGUAACGGCCUACCAAGGCGACGAUCCGUAACUGGUCUGAGAGGACGACCAGUCACACCGGAACUGAGACACGGUCCGGACUCCUACGGGAGGCAGCAGUGGGGAAUAUUGGACAAUGGGGAAACCCUGAAUCCAGCGACGCCGCGUGGGUGAAGAAGGCCUGCGGGUUGUAAAGCCCUUUCAGU
This 409-nucleotide ribosomal RNA is filed under the name uncultured bacterium. RNAcentral describes it as "bacterial SSU rRNA". It matches the Rfam family "Bacterial small subunit ribosomal RNA", at positions 29 to 440 of the family's 1533-position model. The record is from RNAcentral.